AGCGAACGCUGGCGGCAGGCCUAACACAUGCAAGUCGAACGGACCCUUCGGGGUUAGUGGCGGACGGGUGAGUAACACGUGGGAACGUGCCUUUAGGUUCGGAAUAGCUCCUGGAAACGGGUGGUAAUGCCGAAUGUGCCCUUCGGGGGAAAGAUUUAUCGCCUUUAGAGCAGCCCGCGUCUGAUUAGCUAGUUGGUGAGGUAAUGGCUCACCAAGGCGACGAUCAGUAGCUGGUCUGAGAGGAUGACCAGCCACACUGGGACUGAGCCACGGCCCAGACUCCGACGGGAGGCAGCAGUGGGGAAUCUUGCGCAAUGGGCGAAAGCCUGACGCAGCCAUGCCGCGUGAAUGAUGAAGGUCUUAGGAUUGUAAAAUUCUUUCACCGGGGACGAUAAUGACGGUACCCGGAGAAGAAGCCCCGGCUAACUUCGUGCCAGCAGCCGCGGUAA
RNAcentral lists this ribosomal RNA (449 nucleotides) under uncultured bacterium. RNAcentral describes it as "partial 16S ribosomal RNA". It matches the Rfam family "Bacterial small subunit ribosomal RNA", at positions 29 to 523 of the family's 1533-position model. The record is from RNAcentral.